Marmota monax (woodchuck) is the source of this 639-nucleotide long non-coding RNA. RefSeq lists it as uncharacterized. The record is from RefSeq and is a predicted model, not a curated record. The transcript has 2 exons. NCBI's taxonomy places the organism in Eukaryota, Metazoa, Chordata, Mammalia, Rodentia, Sciuridae.
CCCAGCGACACAGUGGAGUGGCAGAGUCAGCGUUCUGGCGCCAUCUGUGCAGACUGGAGCCACGCUCUCCUCCCUGCUCCAGGCCGGGGAUGUGCUACGGGGACGGGGAUGGCCCAGCGCCCAGGACAGCCCAAUUGCUAGGCAAAAUGUGGCCCCGGGGCCAGGAACGUGGGCAUCGCCUGGGACCUGAAUCAGGGUCUGCAUUUAUCAAUGCAGGACACGUGACACCAUGCCCACCCUGGGUUAGGUCUCAAUAAUCUCACUUGAGACACCAUGUCAUUGGAGGGGGUGGGGCUCAGUAUUCAAAAGAAGUGUUGGAAAAACAUGGUUCACUCCGAUCAUCUGUUUUUACAGGUGAGGAAAUCGAUGCUUGGAGAAGGGCAGGGACCUGCCCAACACCACGGAGAAUCGACAGCCAGAAUCCAGGAAUGUCAGGUGGAUGGGUUGUGGCCCGAAGCUGACAUUUUACAUCCAGGCAACCUACGGGAGAGAGUUUGUCAGUGGCCGGGAGAUGCCACCUCAUCUGCUCCCCGCUCCCCGACUCCUGCUCGGGCCUUGGAACGUGGAAGUUCAUUGCCUGGGGCCGGGAGUAUUUUCUUCACCAAGAUGACAGAGAAUAAAUUGUUUUCUAUUUGUUUA